UACCGAGUGCGGGCCCUCUGGGUCCAACCUCCCAUCCGUGUCUAUCUGUACCCUGUUGCUUCGGCGUGGCUACGGCCCGCCGAAGACUAACAUUUGAACACUGUCUGAAGUUUGCAGUCUGAGUUUUUAGUUAAACAAUAAUUAAAACUUUCAACAACGGAUCUCUUGGUUCCGGCAUCGAUGAAGAACGCAGCGAAAUGCGAUAAUUAAUGUGAAUUGCAGAAUUCAGUGAAUCAUCGAGUCUUUGAACGCACAUUGCGCCCCCUGGUAUUCCGGGGGGCAUGCCUGUCCGAGCGUCAUUGCUGCCCUCAAGCACGGCUUGUGUGUUGGGCUUCCGUCCCUGGUAACGGGGACGGGCCCAAAAGGCAGUGGCGGCACCAUGUCUGGUCCUCGAGCGUAUGGGGCUUUGUCACCCGCUCCCGUAGGUCCAGCUGGCAGCUAGCCUCGCAACCAAUCUUUUUAACCAGGUUGACCUCGGAUCAGGUAGGGAUACCCGCUGAACUUAAGCAUAUCAAUAAGCGGAGGAAAAGAAACCAACAGGGAUUGCCUCAGUAACGGCGAGUGAAGCGGCAAGAGCUCAAAUUUGAAAUCUGGCUCCUUCGGGGUCCGAGUUGUAAUUUGUAGAGGAUGCUUCGGGUGCGGCCCCCGUCUAAGUGCUCUGGAACGGG
RNAcentral lists this small RNA (668 nucleotides) under Aspergillus ruber. RNAcentral's name for it is "eukaryotic LSU rRNA". The stretch from base 146 to 299 matches the Rfam family "5.8S ribosomal RNA". The record is from RNAcentral. Lineage: Eukaryota; Fungi; Ascomycota; Eurotiomycetes; Eurotiales; Aspergillaceae.